This is a long non-coding RNA of Gopherus evgoodei (Goodes thornscrub tortoise), 138 nucleotides long. RefSeq lists it as uncharacterized. The record is from RefSeq and is a predicted model, not a curated record. Lineage: Eukaryota; Metazoa; Chordata; Testudines; Testudinidae. The transcript is spliced from 3 exons.
CCCCCAGCACCGCCAAAACACAACACCUCACCCCCCCAGUGCUGUCUGCCCUGUGGAAACAAACCCUUCUUCCCCAGCACCACCCCGCUGAAACAGCUGUGGGCUAAAAGGAAGGUUGGGGGGAUAUCUUUAUUAAGA